This 907-nucleotide ribosomal RNA is filed under the name Staphylococcus aureus. Its description in RNAcentral is "bacterial LSU rRNA". It matches the Rfam family "Bacterial large subunit ribosomal RNA", at positions 111 to 1059 of the family's 2925-position model. Lineage: Bacteria; Bacillati; Bacillota; Bacilli; Caryophanales; Staphylococcaceae. The record is from RNAcentral.
UUUCCGAAUGGGGAAACCCAGUGUGUUUCGACACACUAUCAUUAACUGAAUCCAUAGGUUAAUGAGGCGAACCGGGGGAACUGAAACAUCUAAGUACCCCGAGGAAAAGAAAUCAACCGAGAUUCCCCCAGUAGCGGCGAGCGAACGGGGAGCAGCCCAGAGCCUGAAUCAGUGUGUGUGUUAGUGGAAGCGUCUGGAAAGGCGCGCGAUACAGGGUGACAGCCCCGUACACAAAAAUGCACAUGCUGUGAGCUCGAUGAGUAGGGCGGGACACGUGGUAUCCUGUCUGAAUAUGGGGGGACCAUCCUCCAAGGCUAAAUACUCCUGACUGACCGAUAGUGAACCAGUACCGUGAGGGAAAGGCGAAAAGAACCCCGGCGAGGGGAGUGAAAAAGAACCUGAAACCGUGUACGUACAAGCAGUGGGAGCACGCUUAGGCGUGUGACUGCGUACCUUUUGUAUAAUGGGUCAGCGACUUAUAUUCUGUAGCAAGGUUAACCGAAUAGGGGAGCCGAAGGGAAACCGAGUCUUAACUGGGCGUUAAGUUGCAGGGCAUAGACCCGAAACCCGGUGAUCUAGCCAUGGGCAGGUUGAAGGUUGGGUAACACUAACUGGAGGACCGAACCGACUAAUGUUGAAAAAUUAGCGGAUGACUUGUGGCUGGGGGUGAAAGGCCAAUCAAACCGGGAGAUAGCUGGUUCUCCCCGAAAGCUAUUUAGGUAGCGCCUCGUGAAUUCAUCUCCGGGGGUAGAGCACUGUUUCGGCAAGGGGGUCAUCCCGACUUACCAACCCGAUGCAAACUGCGAAUACCGGAGAAUGUUAGCACGGGAGACACACGGCGGGUGCUAACGUCCGUCGUGAAGAGGGAAACAACCCAGACCGCCAGCUAAGGUCCCAAAGUCAUGGU